GCACAAGCAGCGGAGCGUGUGGUUUAAUUCGAUGCUACACGAAGAACCUUACCUGGGUUUGACAUGCAAGUGGUAGGAAGCCGAAAGGUGACCGACCCUUCGGGGAGCUUGCACAGGUGCUGCAUGGCUGUCGUCAGCUCGUGUCGUGAGAUGUUCGGUUAAGUCCGCUAACGAGCGCAACCCUCGCUGUGUGUUAUAUGUGUCACACGGGACUGCCGGUCUUAAGCCGGAGGAAGGUGGGGAUGAUGUCAAGUCAGCAUGGCCUUUAUAUCCUGGGCUACACACACGCUACAAUGGCCAACACAAUAGGUUGCUAAGCCGCGAGGUGGCGCCAAUCCAUAAAGUUGGUCUCAGUUCAGAUUGUAGGCUGCAACCCGCCUGCAUGAAGAUGGAGUUGCUAGUAACCGCAGGUCAGCUAUACUGCGGUGAAUACGUUCCCGGGGCUU
RNAcentral lists this ribosomal RNA (446 nucleotides) under uncultured Leptolinea sp. RNAcentral describes it as "bacterial SSU rRNA". It matches the Rfam family "Bacterial small subunit ribosomal RNA", at positions 923 to 1382 of the family's 1533-position model. The record is from RNAcentral. Lineage: Bacteria; Bacillati; Chloroflexota; Anaerolineae; Anaerolineales; Anaerolineaceae.